GUUCUAGUCGCCUUGCGUCAUGUAAUUAUUGGAAAUUCAUCCUUCUCAAUAAAAUGUGUGGAAACUUUUACGAAAACAGUUGAAAAAGCGAGGACGGCAAGGAGAUAUGGUCUCAACAUCUUGAAAUCUCUGGUGGAACUAAACCAAGAAGGAGCAGUCAAGUCAAGUGAAUCAAAAUGAUAUUUUCUGAUUAAUUUUUUAAGAUUUCAAAACUCCCGCACUUAAUUCGUUGGUUCUGCUCUUUUUUCACAAUUAAUUUCCGCAAUUUUCACGCCUGCACACAAAAGAAGCGACCAUAAUCAUGGCCAUAAAAGGGCAAACCGCAAAGCCAACGCGUUUGUUUGUUGCACAAUGCCCCUUAAUGAACAACGGAAAUUGCUGGCCACUAAAGUGCAGUCCCACUAAAAUCGUAUAAAAAUAAAUCAAACGAAUAGCCA
Molecule: long non-coding RNA, 437 nt
Filed under: Drosophila guanche
Lineage: Eukaryota; Metazoa; Arthropoda; Insecta; Diptera; Drosophilidae
Source: RNAcentral